UAGCCUCGGCGCAUGCGCACAGCCCGCCGGAGCAGGGAUCUAAUCAUGGACCAGGAGGUGACACCUAAGGGCGACACUAAAGACAAACCAGUCUCAAGUGUACAACAGAACGGACCAGAGGCUGAGCCCCUCACAAAACCUCAUCCGUUCACUUGGAAUCUGCUGCUUUCUGAUCCAAGGUAAAAGAAUCUACUAAAAUAAUAAAUUCACCCGACCCUGCAGGAGCCUGUGAUGUGUCUUUUGUUCUUUUUCCAGCUUUUGGUUUUGAGGCGCUGCUUUAAGAACACUUCUCAUGCAUCGCACCCAUUCACGUUCACGUUCGUGAAGAAUUAAAUUCAGUUUGUUUUUUUCCUCUUCCCGUCUUUCAUUCACACAUCUAUCUAUAUAAUAUUGAGAAUGCAAAAUACUGGAGAGGAGGUUGUUCCUGGCCAUUCAGAUGGGGGUACUCACAAAGGACAGGGAGAGAAUUCAGGUCAGUCAAGAAUACAGUGUCCUCAUCUCGAAGGUGGUGGAGUAUUACCAUCAGAUCAUUGGCCAGAAGGCUGCCAAAGUCCCCAAAUCCAAGAAAAAGGAUCUGCGGAUUAAUAUCACGGAUGCGGUGAACGCCGUGGGCCCGCACCUGCGCAGUGUGGAUGUCUGCAAGAAGAGAUAUCACGAUAUCAAGAGGCACGUGAAGAAAGAGUUGUCGGAGGCCGAAAAACAAAAGACGCUGAACGGCAGAGAUCCCCCAGGAGAUGUAGAACUCACUGACUAUGAAGAGGAAUAUUUUGAGCACUGAAAUGGCGGAUGGUGUCAAGAUCAAAGGAUACAUAGAUACUGGCCUUUCCUCAGAGAUGUUUCAGGACUUGAUGGGCUUUGGGGCGUCUCCUUUGGAUCUACAUCUUCCGAUGAAAAUCAGGAGAUCAUUGUGACAAACGUGGACCCUCAAGACAUUGAAGCCAUGUCAGGCCUGGAGAAUGUUCAUCAUCAGGAAACUUUACGGUAGACUGUGAACCUUUGCCUGACAAAAAAACCUGAAGAGUGUCCAUCGUCAGGGGAAAGCUCUGCAAGAGUUGGGCGGUAGUAUACAACGCUUACAUGCAGAGGUGGUGGCCAUGAAUCACAUGCUGGACCUUCUAGCCACCAACCAAGAGAAAACAAGGGAAGAUACUGCACACUAUCGAGAAGAGACGGCCCGGUAUCGGGUAAAUGAGCUCAGACUUCUCAAGGAAGCCAAUGAAAUUUUGCAGCCAAAAGGCUUUCAAAGGAAUCUGCCAUGGAUACAAACUUUCACCGUCAGAACCUUCAAACAGGGGAAGGCAGGCCAAGUACCGUGCGGAGGACUGCUGUACGCACAAGGGGAGGAGCUUCUGCUUCAAGUGCUCGCAAAGGGGGGAAAGUAUAAGGAUUAUUGACUUUUGUUGGCAUGGGGGGGGUAGUAUUUUGUGUUAUAUAUUGGCUACUUUUUAGAAUUACAGCACUUCGUGAUUGACUUAACAGGGUACUCCGCCCCUAGACAUCUUAUUUCCUAUCCAAAGGAUAGGGGAUAAGAUGUCUGAUUGCGGGGGUCCCACCGCUGGGGAUUCCUGCGAUCUUGGCUGCAGCACCCCAAACAUCCGGCGUAUGGAACCGGUGUAUGAACUUCGCUCCGUGUCGGAUGACUGGCAAUGUGGGCGGAGGCUUGUGACAUCACAGCCACUCUCAUGAUGUAACAGCCAUGCCCCCUCAAUGCAAGUCUAUGGAGGGGGUGCGACGGCCGUGGGCAUUUAUCACAAUUGUUGGCAUGGCCGUGUCCAUCGUUCAUGAGAAGGUUCUCGCCAGAAGUUUCGUCACAGACUGGUGGUGUACAAUAUGAACGUGCCAAAUUUUUCUGCCCUGUUGGGACUUUUUAACCUGAGCCUUCGGUUGCUACCUUAUUAUACAGAAGCACCGCCUACUCAGAAAUGCCACACCCUGUUCAUCAUGGAGGUAUGUGGCUUCUAAUAGGGAGUAUGGAAAGCCUCUGCAUUUUAUAAGUAAUGGCAGUGGGUGGGAUAUAAUAUGUUUACAUGUUCAGUAUAGAGAUUACCCCUGUUCUCCACUUAAUGUCUUUAAUGGCACUACUGGGGCAUGAGUUUUGCAUGAAUUUAGAAAUAUUUUAUCAUGACAAAUUGAUGACUCAAUAGGAAUUAAAGAGAUGACAAUGGCACAUGCUUUUCUCCUUGUACUCUGUGUUUCUCUUUACAUGAUGGUGAUAUAUGUAAAAUAGGCACUGCCAUUUUAAUGAACUUUGCUUCCUAGUUCAUUCUGGGGUCAGGUUACAUGCUGCCUAUAGAAGUCUAUGGAAAAGGGAGGGGAAAAGAAGAUACAGAUAGCGAGAUAGAGACAAAGGCUUUAUUAAAGUGUUUAACUAUUAAUCCCAGUGUUGGAUUCACAGUGACACUACUCUUUACGGAUGUAUAAUGUCCCUCAUGCUGCUGCGUCUUCUGAGGGUGGAUGCAGAACUGGGGGGAAUCUUGAAACAUUAAACUAAAGCCUGCAGCAUCACUUUGUGCCCUCCUUUUUCACUACACAUCCUUUCUUCUCCUUAGAGUUCUAUGGGUAGCAUGUAAUCUGGUCCCUCAACGAGGCUGAUAAUUUGUCUCUCAAGAUGGAUUUUAGUAGGAAAUUAAGGAUGAGUGAUCAGUGUAGAGGCAGGGGAGGAGAGGCAUCUAACGUGGAAGAAAAAGGGGCAUGGGUCUGUAAUAAGAUAUAUUAUUAAGAACUCUGCCACAUGAUGUUGUGGUGCUUGAUUCAUUGAGCAAGUUCAAGAAGGUCCUGGGAAGUCUUUCUUAAAAAAUUUAAUAUUAUUGGAACUAGACUUUUAAAGCUGGAACUUCGAUUCAGGGAUUUAUUCUGGUUUCCAAAUUUGGAGUCAGGCAUGCAUUUUUACCCUCGUAUCGGACAAUUCGCAUCUGCCUGAAAAGGGCUUUUCCCUUCUUCUGGAUUAACACAAUAGGGUUAUAGGCUGAAGUUGAUUGACUCAAUUAUGUAACUAUGACCUUUAUAUGCAUUGUUGGUGACUUGACAGAAAGAAUUGUGGACUCCAGUGAUAUACAGCUACAAGUUUGCUGCAGAUUGAUCCCCUAUAGAAUUCUAGAAGAAAAACACAAAGUAUACACAUGACAGAGGGAGGCCUCCUAUAUUAAGUGGGUCUCUAUUACUAAUGUCUCCUAUGUAGUUUACACAGGAACGCCCCCUCCCAUGAAUGGAGGGGCAUGGCCGUGAUGUCACGUCCCCGUCUCGGAGGCAGCUUCCGGAACAGAAUGCCGAGGGCUGCACAGAGAUUGCGGAGUCCCCAGCUGCGGGACUCCAGCGAUCAUACAUCCUUUGGAUAGGGGAUAAAAUGUAUAAAGCCGGAAUACCCCUUUAAUGGGGCUGACCUGUGAUACCAGGCACAGCCACUUUAGUACCUGUUGGGUUAAUUGAAAUGUCACUGAGCUGCAGUACCAGGCACAGCCACCUUGGUAUAUGUUGGGCUAUGCUUGUGUGUAGAAUGUAGGAAACACAGCUUAUUUGGGUGGGGAACUGAUUAAACACUGAUAGUUUAUCCCAAAGCUAGGCCAUCAGUCUUUACUUUCUGAAAUACCCCUUUAAGUGAAGUGUACGAAGGGAUUUAUUGGGGCAGCGUUAAAGGGGUACUCUGCCCCUAGACAUCUUAUCCCCUAUCCAAAGGAUAGUGAAAAAAAUGUCUGAUCGUGGGUGUCCUACCGCUAGGGACCCCUGCAAUCUCCGUGCUGCACCCGGCAUUCGUUUAGAGCGUUGGGUUAAGCGCAGGAGGCUCGUGAUGUCACGGCCCCACCCCCUCAAUGCAAGUAUAUAGAUCAUGAUGUCACGAGCCUCUGCCCCGCAUCACCAGUCAUCCGGCAGGGAGCGGGUGCCGCAGCCGAGAUCACGGGGGUCCCCAGCGGCUGGACUCCCUUAAUCAGACAUCUUAUUCCCUAAGAUGUCCAGGGACGGCGUACCCCUUUAAUCGCUCAUAGCCCUAAAUCUCGCACAUAAAUAUUUCUUCCUUCAUCUGCUUAAUGUGAGUAGAGAUGAGCGAAGUUACAGUGAUUCGAUUCGUCACAAACUUCUCGGCUCGUCAGUUGCUGACUUUAUCCUGCAUAAAUUAGUUCAGCCUUCAGGUGCUCCGGUGGGCUGGAAAAGGUGGAUACAGUCCUAGGAGAGAGUCUCCAGCCCACCGGAGCACCUGAAAGCUGAACUAAUUUGAUGCAGGCUAAACUCAGCAAAUGUGGAGCCGCGAGGUUCGUGACGAAUCGAAUUUCUGAAACUUCGCUCAUCUCUAAAUGUGAGAACAUAACAAUUUGCCAACACGGUGCAUGGACAAGGGCCAAGUAUCCAAUGAGCAAUGAACCUGUAGAGCAGUCUUCAGCCAAUGGUGCCCAAGAACAAUGGAGCAUUCACUUGAUGAAGGUUACCUGUCAUGGAAAACCUGUGGUGACAUAGGAAGAAGGAAAUGGCAGCACAAGAUAAGGGAGGAUGUGCUGAGACCAGUACAAAAAAAAACAAUAAAGUUUAUUCAGAUUAUGUUUAUAGGGUUCUGAUGUUUCCUCAUCCUGGAUGUCUUGAAGUAGUAUGGAUGUGACCUUCAAGCUUACAGCUCCUGCCUGCAAAAUAAGAAAAAGCAUUACUAUAGGGGAAUGAUUAUUACUAAAGAAACCCAAAAACUACGAGCUAAAGGGUUGUAAAGGGCAAAGAAAAAAAAUCCAUGUAUAGCCAAGUACUUAAAGAUGGCUUUAAAGGCUUAGACUAUUCUUGAAAGUGCUUAACUCUUCACAGGAUGACUUUAGGGCUUUUACUGCUGUUAUUGAGCCCAAGAUGCCCCUUCAUGAUGCACAACUAUUUCUCAUUCUUUCCAUUUCAGUGAGCGUGGCCACUUCUUGGCUCUUUGCCAGUUGUACACAUACAUGGACUUCCUUUCCCUUACUUCUUUGGCAAAGCACAUACUGUAAUUCACUCUGCUAUCUGGACUGAACAUUGGGCAGUAUGCUGGGCUAAUGAUUUACAAAGUACACUACUAUAGAUAACAUGAGAAGGGGUUACUGGUGCACUCAACUGAACAGGCUGCAGUAUACUGGGCUGAUGAUUUACACAGUACACUACUAUAGAUAACAUGAGAAGGGGUUACUGGUGUAUUCGACUGAACAGGCUGCAGUAUGCUGGGCUAAUGAUUUACAAAGUACACUACUAUAGAUAACAUGAGAAGGGGUUACUGGUGUACUCAACUGAACAGGCUGCAGUAUACUGGGCUGAUGAUUUACACAGUACACUACUAUAGAUAACAUGAGAAGGGGGUUACUGGUGUACUCGACUGAACAGGCUGCAGUAUGUUGGGCUGAUGAUUUACACAGUACACUACUAUAGAUAAGUAAAGGGAAAAAGGGGUUACUAGUUCACUGGGUUUGUAAAGAGAAAGGAAAGAAACAACAGGAUAACAGCAAGGAAAGGGUUACACUAGACAAUGAGCUGCUACUGUUGCUUCUGCUGACAACAUAGAGGAAUAAUGGACAUACAGCACUAGGUGCAGUAGUGUAUAUACAAGGAAAAGCUGGCCUUAGCCUUAUGGGUGGUGAAAGGAAAGCUUGAUUUACCUUUCAGGGACAGUGUGGUUGAUCUCCAGCAGGCAGACAGGCUUAACGUGCAGGUACACAGCCCAAGCUUUCUUGGGUCUCAUUAUCUCCUCCACAUAGCAUAUGAUAAUCCCCACCCAAACUUCCUGUAAUUUGUCCGAAUCUAGCUGUUUCUAGAGACAGAUUUCCCCUACCAGCAUGUAGCGGACAGCAGAUAGAAGUGAGACAUCUACUGGCCAAUUUAGAGCUAGGGUAAGGAGUUAUUUUUGGUAAAUGAAGUGAUUUACAAUUUGUUAACUUUCACAUUGGCUGUCUAUGGCAUGAGGGAAGAAGUUGUUUGAAAUGACAGUGAUUAUUUUAAGAUUGGAAAAGCAUUUAAGUGAUAUUUCAAUUCAAUAGGAUUGUCAGGAAUCAUCCCUGGGUGUGGCUAUUGACAUUCAAGUAAGUCGUCAACUGAAUUGAUUAUCUAGUGGAUUUAGUAGCAGAACCCAUUUCACCAAGUGGACAUAAGUCUCCAUCUCCAAUUGAUGAGGAAGAUACAACAAAGAAGGAUAAACCCAACCAUAAAAUACAGUGCCGGAAGUCCAACAGCCAAAAAAACACUGAGAU
Hyla sarda is the source of this 6179-nucleotide RNA transcript. It is a transcript of the gene named zinc finger protein 239-like, with no coding region annotated. NCBI's taxonomy places the organism in Eukaryota, Metazoa, Chordata, Amphibia, Anura, Hylidae. The record is from RefSeq and is a predicted model, not a curated record. The transcript has 6 exons.